This 690-nucleotide ribosomal RNA is filed under the name Alexandrium ostenfeldii. RNAcentral describes it as "eukaryotic LSU rRNA". It matches the Rfam family "Eukaryotic large subunit ribosomal RNA", at positions 28 to 669 of the family's 3401-position model. Lineage: Eukaryota; Dinophyceae; Gonyaulacales; Pyrocystaceae. The record is from RNAcentral.
CUGAAUUUAAGCAAAUAAGUAGGCGGUGGAAAAUGAACCAAAGGGGAUUCCUUAAGUAAUUCCGAAUGAACAAGGAACUGCUCAGCUUGAAAAUUGGGGCCUUCGGCCUUGAAUUGUAAUUUUGAAAUGUAUUGCCAAUGGAGGCGCAGGUGCAAGCCUAUUGAAAGAAAGCGUCAAUGAGGGUGAGAUUCCUUUUUGUCAUUUGCAGUCCUCCGUGCACGGUAUAUAUUUGACGAGUCACACUCCUUGGCAUUGGAAUGCAAAGUGGGUGGUAAAUUCCAUGUAAAGGAAAAUAUAUUAUUGAGACUGAUAGCAAACAAGUACCAUGAGGGAAAUAUGAAAAGGACUUUGAAAAGAGAAUUAAAAGAGUCUGCAUUUGCUGAACAGAAAGCAAACAGAAUUGAUCUACUUGGUGAGAUUGUUGCGUCCACUUGUGGGUGCAAUGGUUCUUGCCUUGAAUGUCAGCGUCUAUUUCUGCAAAUUAUUACCCUUGCAUAUGAAUUGUAAUUUGCCUGUGGGCAUUGGAAUGCAUGUGUUUGCAAUGAUUUGUGAUUUGAUACAUGUGUCUGGUGUUCGCGUGUGUGCCUUCUUGCUAACACGGGGAGGGCUCUCCUCCCUGGGCACUGCAUGCCCUUGCACAUUGUUGCUGGCAAAAUGUUUCUGCUUGACCCGUCUUGAAACACGGACCAA